This 1219-nucleotide ribosomal RNA is filed under the name metagenome. Its description in RNAcentral is "bacterial SSU rRNA". It matches the Rfam family "Bacterial small subunit ribosomal RNA", at positions 264 to 1498 of the family's 1533-position model. The record is from RNAcentral.
CUUACCAAGGCUACGAUGGGUAGGGGUCCUGAGAGGGAGAUCCCCCACACUGGUACUGAGACACGGACCAGACUCCUACGGGAGGCAGCAGUGAGGAAUAUUGGACAAUGGGCGCAAGCCUGAUCCAGCCAUGCCGCGUGCAGGAUGACGGUCCUAUGGAUUGUAAACUGCUUUUAUACGAGAAGAAACACUCCAACGUGUUGGAGCUUGACGGUAUCGUAAGAAUAAGGAUCGGCUAACUCCGUGCCAGCAGCCGCGGUAAUACGGAGGAUCCAAGCGUUAUCCGGAAUCAUUGGGUUUAAAGGGUCCGUAGGCGGUUUAAUAAGUCAGUGGUGAAAGCCCAUCGCUCAACGGUGGAACGGCCAUUGAUACUGUUAAACUUGAAUUAUUAGGAAGUAACUAGAAUAUGUAGUGUAGCGGUGAAAUGCUUAGAGAUUACAUGGAAUACCAAUUGCGAAGGCAGGUUACUACCAAUUGAUUGACGCUGAUGGACGAAAGCGUGGGUAGCGAACAGGAUUAGAUACCCUGGUAGUCCACGCCGUAAACGAUGGAUACUAGCUGUUGGGAGCAAUCUCAGUGGCUAAGCGAAAGUGAUAAGUAUCCCACCUGGGGAGUACGUUCGCAAGAAUGAAACUCAAAGGAAUUGACGGGGGCCCGCACAAGCGGUGGAGCAUGUGGUUUAAUUCGAUGAUACGCGAGGAACCUUACCAAGGCUUAAAUGUAGAUUGACCGAUUUGGAAACAGAUCUUUCGCAAGACAAUUUACAAGGUGCUGCAUGGUUGUCGUCAGCUCGUGCCGUGAGGUGUCAGGUUAAGUCCUAUAACGAGCGCAACCCCUGUUGUUAGUUGCCAGCGAGUCAAGUCGGGAACUCUAACAAGACUGCUAGUGCAAACUGUGAGGAAGGUGGGGAUGACGUCAAAUCAUCACGGCCCUUACGCCUUGGGCUACACACGUGCUACAAUGGCCGGUACAGAGAGCAGCCACUGGGCGACCAGGAGCGAAUCUAUAAAACCGGUCACAGUUCGGAUCGGAGUCUGCAACUCGACUCCGUGAAGCUGGAAUCGCUAGUAUCGGAUAUCAGCCAUGAUCCGGUGAAUACGUUCCCGGGCCUUGUACACACCGCCCGUCAAGCCAUGGAAGCUGGGGGUGCCUGAAGUCGGUGACCGCAAGGAGCUGCCUAGGGUAAAACUGGUAACUAGGGCUAAGUCGUAACAAGGUA